RNAcentral lists this ribosomal RNA (468 nucleotides) under uncultured bacterium. Its description in RNAcentral is "partial 16S ribosomal RNA". It matches the Rfam family "Bacterial small subunit ribosomal RNA", at positions 28 to 507 of the family's 1533-position model. The record is from RNAcentral.
GACGAACGCUGGCGGCGUGCUUAACACAUGCAAGUCGAACGGAAAGGCCCUGCUUUUGUUGGGUGCUCGAUUGGCGAACGGGUGAGUAACACGUGAGUAACCUGCCCUUGACUUUGGGAUAACUUCAGGAAACUGCGGCUAAUACCGGAUAUGAGCUCCUGCUGCAUGGUGGUGGUUGGAAAGUUUCGGCGGUUGUGGAUGGACUCGCGGCUUAUCCGCUUGUUGGUGGGGUAGUGGCUUACCAAGGCUUUGACGGGUAGCCGGCCUGAGAGGGUGACCGGCCACAUUGGGACUGAGAUACGGACCAGAAUGCUACGGGAGGCAGUAGUGGGGAAUAUUGCACAAUGGGCGGAAGCCUGAUGCAGAAACGCCGCGUGCGGGAUGACGGCCUUCGGGUUGUAAACAGCUUUCGACUGUGACGAAGAGUGAGUGACGGUAAUGGGUAAAGAAGCACCGGCUAACUACGUG